GGGGAUGUUUAUGGAUUCGCUAUGGUUAGUGAAGUUGUAUAAGCAUGUGGUGGGAUUAUCGGCCACCUUAAAAACGUCGAGGUUUCUGUUAUAAACGCAGAAGAAAACAAUAACGAGUAUGCAUUCUUAGCAGCACGUUCAAACGCAGCAGCUAACUUUGCAUACGCUUGCUAAUUAGGAUAUAUUAGCACAUCACCCUAGAGAGCUCCUAUGGCUCUAGGCUUUGAUGCUCAACUUUAAUAGGAUAUAUCUAAAUGCUGCUAUUCUAAGUGUAUAGACGAAAUUAAUAGAAUGUAGUCAAGAAUUGGUUUGUUCAUUCGCUUUAUUCUUGAUGAAACUUUAGGAUGAACUAAACAUGUAGAAGGUAUUAUGGAUCUUGCCGUAUACCGGAGUUCGAGUCUCCGCAUCUCCACCA
RNAcentral lists this transfer-messenger RNA (415 nucleotides) under Anaeroplasmataceae. Its description in RNAcentral is "UBA3206 sp002363705 Standard tmRNA". It matches the Rfam family "transfer-messenger RNA". Rfam says of the family: Bacterial tmRNA, also known as 10Sa RNA or SsrA, is named for its dual tRNA and mRNA-like properties. Its role is to liberate the mRNA from a stalled ribosome. RNAcentral also lists the same sequence under 1 other name. Lineage: Bacteria; Bacillati; Mycoplasmatota; Mollicutes; Anaeroplasmatales. The record is from RNAcentral.